This 135-nucleotide ribosomal RNA is filed under the name uncultured eukaryote. RNAcentral describes it as "partial 18S ribosomal RNA". It matches the Rfam family "Eukaryotic small subunit ribosomal RNA", at positions 1299 to 1458 of the family's 1831-position model. The record is from RNAcentral.
UGGUGGAGCGAUUUGUCUGCUUAAUUGCGAUAACGAACGAGACUCUGGCCUACUAACCAGAAGACAGUUCUUCGAGACUGUCACACUUCUUAGAGGGAUAAGGGGAUUGAAGCCCCAAGAGAUUGAGCAAUAACA